GAUAAUUGUAUUUCAUAAGUAAGCAAACCUUACAUGAGAUAAGCUUAAAAUUACAGGCUAUAAACAAAGUUUGAAACAAUUAAAGAAAAUCCAGCCUAUACCCAAUCCGAAACCCAUAACUCAGAAAAGGGCCAACAAUCCGAAACCACUAUCACCCAACCCCAUAUUAUAAACCUAACUACUGCAUAAAUAAACAUGCAGAAGGCAGCCACGGAUCAAGGUAAGCGCCGCCGUCAAGUAUAUUGAGCAAAUUCGGAGACUUUUGAAGACCGAAAAAUGCAGGAGGCCAUGCAAGAUGCUAAGACCUCAAAGACAAUCCUCAAAAACAGUGAGUCGAGCCUUGAGUCUAGGAGACCAAAAGAACGCACGAGUCAUUGGGUGCCGGAGAACCACAAACAGAAAGGGCGACACAGAGCUCUUUAGCUUUAAUGGCUGUUAAGAGUCCGCUGCUGCUCAGGUGGGAGAAAGACUCCCGAGUUAUCGUCAAUCAAUAUAAAUUAAAUCCUCCCUAAUCCCAGCACCAAGAACUGUAGUACAAAAAAGAACCCGAAACCGUAUUAUCAUGAGAACGAGACUCGCCAACCCCACCUACAACACAAGGAAAGCUGGAAUGGCAAUGCUGGGAAGACGCACCAGUCAGCAGAUCAAACAUCAAUCCCUCGUGUUGUAGCCCAGAUCUACAUCCAACAAACCAACAAAACAAUAUUUACAACCCACCCGAUGUGGGGAAGGAAACUCACUACCGGGCAGAAGAAGGAGGAGGCCUCCUCUGCCUGAGUGGGGCAAAGGAGGCCGCUAACUCAGCAAAAAUAAUGAGUCAGAGAAAAGGAAAAAUACUGAGAAAGGGAAGAGACGAUAUUUAAAAUUUAAUUAUUUUUU
This 879-nucleotide unclassified non-coding RNA is filed under the name Hevea brasiliensis (rubber tree). The record is from RNAcentral. Lineage: Eukaryota; Viridiplantae; Streptophyta; Magnoliopsida; Malpighiales; Euphorbiaceae.